AUUUAUUACACCAUAGUUAAAGGAGAAAAAUCAUGUUCACUUCAAUAUAUGAUGAAAAGUAAUUUAAUUCAAUAGAUAUCCUUUAAAGGCAAUCGGUGUAAGAAUAAGUGAAUUGUUACAUAUUGGUAUGUAUUUUCACCUACAGGCAACUAAAUGUAUGGUCCUAAAUGACUAAAUCAUGAAACCAUUUUAAUUACAUUCAGAAAUUGGACAAGGGACCAUCCAUCACAAUUAUUUAAUAUUGAGUAAGAGGCUUUAUUUAACAAAGUACAACUGACAUUAAUACUGAUCGAGCAGAGCUAAUAAUGUCUUUUUGCAGGUGAUAUAUGACUUAAAAAUUUCUGAAAUGCUAAUUUCAAGAUCUAGAAAAGAACAAAAAUUGGUAACUUGGUUGGUUAGAAGAUAGAUGAAAAUUUGUAAUUUUUUGUGAAAUCUAUUGACUAAGAAACUAUCCAGGUAUAGAAAUGAUAUGAAAGCAAAGGCAAUAUCAUAUUAAAUAGAACAGGAUCUGAUUAAAGAAGAAACUAAUAUUUUGGGGGGAAUAUAGUAUUAAUAUAUUAAUUCUUUGUAACUUAAAAAAUGUAUUUCAAGCAAUUCCAAUUAGAAUCUUGAUGAGCUGUUUUCAAUUUUUGAAAGAGGUAAUGUAAUUUUACAAUUAUGUGGAUGAUCACAUGUUAAUAAAUGACCAGUAUGAAAAAGCAGUGAGGAAGACUUGCAUUGUGCUUAUAAUACGUAAUAUAAAUUCAGUUGAUCAGAAUAUAUGGUAAUGCCAUAGGAAGACAUACAGAUUAAUGGAACAGAUAAAUUAUUUUUAAAAUAGGUAACAGCUUGGACAAUACAUCACUUAAAUAAUGAGACUGCAAUAACUGAUGAUCACUGUGGAAAAAAUGAAAAGCAUUAUUGUUUUGUAUCUUAUACAAAGAUAGUUUACAAUGGAUGGCUUAAAUGAAAAAAGUAUAAAGAACUUUGCAAAGUGAAUCAUCAUAAUUCCCUAAUAUAGAACAUAAUGAAAUUCACCUAUCUUUUUGCUUUUUGUAAAUCUAAAGAAAAUUACUUAGUGAAAUAAUGUUAGUUAUCAUAUGUCUUUCUUAUCAUAUCAUUAUGUCUUUAAUAUGGUUACAUGUCAUAUAAUGUUUAGUUACUUACUAGUUUAACCUAAAUGUCUGUGAAAUAGUUAAUAGUACUAUCAGUAUUCAAUAGAUGAGGACAACCUGGAUUGACUAAGUAGCUUAAAACUUCUUUGGGAGAAGAUCAGGUAUCAUGUCCUUGUAGUACUAAGGCAUAUUUUGUGUGUGUGUUAGAAAUUGUCAUUGAAUUAUUCCAUAUAAUCUAUUUUAUGGUGCUUUGGUGAUCCCAUUGUUCCUUGGUCCUGUUCUGGUGCUAAUUACUUUUAUUAUCAGGAGAAUCAAGAUAAAUAUUAACAUCAAAGUACAUCUAGAAAGUGGAUAAAAAAAUAUAAAACACGCAACCUUGGAGAAGUAUGUGAAAUUGACUUGGGAAUGAGUGGUUACUGAUUUUGAGCUAUAAACAAAGAAACACAAUUUGACAAUUAACCUGCCACUGUUGUCAAUCUUUUUAUAUCUUUAGAACAUAAACAUUUUGUUUCCAGUUCCUUGUAUUUAUUUUAAAAUAAAUUAUGUGAUCAUAUAAAUAAUUUUCUUGUAAGUCAUGCAUUAGAAUAUAUUCAACUACUGAUAUUCCUUCUGGACACUAAUCAUGAAACUAAUAAUGAAAUUUCAGAUAUUAAUCCUCUGUGUUGACUAGGUAUCUUGGGUGAGAAGGUAGAGGAAAGAACCUUCAGUAACUUGGCGUGGAAGGGCUGUAUGGUAGCAUAGCACACAGAACUAGCCUAUGACAGACCUUUUGGAAAGGAGCAAUAGUUAUAAAUUUAUUGACAUCAUGUUUUUCAUAGUUGCUGAUGUAUGUUGGCUCAAAGAGUGGGAAUUAGACACUGGAAAUUAGUGGAUAGACAAGGUGUGACAUGAAUGAUAAG
Ochotona curzoniae (black-lipped pika) is the source of this 1993-nucleotide long non-coding RNA. RefSeq lists it as uncharacterized. Lineage: Eukaryota; Metazoa; Chordata; Mammalia; Lagomorpha; Ochotonidae. The record is from RefSeq and is a predicted model, not a curated record. The transcript is spliced from 2 exons.